Molecule: ribosomal RNA, 383 nt
Filed under: uncultured eukaryote
Lineage: Eukaryota
Description: partial 18S ribosomal RNA
Rfam family: Eukaryotic small subunit ribosomal RNA
Source: RNAcentral
CAAUAGCGUAUAUUAAAGUUGUUGCAGUUAAAAAGCUCGUAGUUGGAUUUCUGGUAGGAGUGACCGUUCCGAACUUGAUUGUUCGUGUAUUGUGUUUUCUCCAGCCAUCCUUGUGGAGAACUUUUCUUGCAUUAAUUUGUAGGGAUUGGGACCCGCAUCGUUUACUGUGAAAAAAUUAGAGUGUUUAAAGCAGGCAAUCGCUUGAAUACAUUAGCAUGGAAUAAUAAGAUAGGACUUUGGUACUAUUUUGUUGGUUUGCAUACCAAAUUAAUGAUCAACAGGGACAGUUUGAGGAUAUCCGUAUGAACAUGUCAGAGGUGAAAUUCUUGGAUUUUGAUCAGACGAACUACUGCGAAAGCAUUUAUCAAGGAUGUUUUCAUUAA